RNAcentral lists this ribosomal RNA (1405 nucleotides) under uncultured delta proteobacterium. RNAcentral's name for it is "bacterial SSU rRNA". It matches the Rfam family "Bacterial small subunit ribosomal RNA". Lineage: Bacteria; Deltaproteobacteria. The record is from RNAcentral.
AGAGUUUGAUUAUGGCUCAGAAUGAACGCUGGCGGCGUGCCUAACACAUGCAAGUCGGACGCGAACAGGGCUUCGGCCCUAAGUAGAGUGGCGCACGGGUGAGUAACGCGUAGGUAAUCUACCUCUGGAUUGGGGAUAACUCUGCGAAAGCGGAGCUAAUACCGAAUGGUCUGGCUUUAUUUUGAUGAAGUCGGUAAAGGAUGCCUCUGCAUAUGCAUCUGUCCAGAGAUGAGCCUGCGUCCCAUUAGCUAGUUGGUAGGGUAAAGGCCUACCAAGGCGACGAUGGGUAGCUGGUCUGAGAGGAUGAUCAGCCACACUGGAACUGGAACACGGUCCAGACUCCUACGGGAGGCAGCAGUGGGGAAUAUUGGGCAGUGGGCGCAAGCCUGACCCAGCAACGCCGUGUGAGGGAUGAAGGCCUUCGGGUCGUAAACCUCUGUCAGAAGGGAAGAACGGGCACAGUUCGAAUAGGGCUGUGUUUUGACGGUACCUUCAGAGGAAGCACCGGCUAACUCCGUGCCAGCAGCCGCGGUAAUACGGAGGGUGCGAGCGUUAUUCGGAAUCACUGGGCGUAAAGGGCGCGUAGGCGGCCUGGUAAGUCAGGGGUGAAAUCCCACGGCUCAACCGUGGAAUUGCCUUUGAAACUGCUGGGCUUGGAUCCUGGAGAGGGUGGCGGAAUUCCUGGUGUAGGAGUGAAAUCCGUAGAUAUCAGGAGGAACACCGGUGGCGAAGGCGGCCACCUGGACAGGUAUCGACGCUGAGGCACGAAAGCGUGGGUAGCGAACAGGAUUAGAUACCCUGGUAGUCCACGCCGUAAACGAUGAAUACUAGGUGUCGGGCGUCAAAACUCGGUGCCGCAGCAAACGCAUUAAGUAUUCCGCCUGGGGAGUACGCACGCAAGUGUGAAACUCAAAGGAAUUGACGGGGACCCGCACAAGCAGCGGAGCAUGUGGUUUAAUUCGAAGCAACGCGAAGAACCUUACCAGGUCUUGACAUCCCUCUGAAGUAGCCUUAGCCGGCUAUGUCCUUCGGGACAGAGGAGACAGGUGGUGCAUGGUUGUCGUCAGCUCGUGUCGUGAGAUGUUGGGUUAAGUCCCGCAACGAGCGCAACCCUUAUGUUUAGUUGUCAUCAGGUAAAGCUGGACCCUCUAGACAGACUGCCGUGGAUAACACGGAGGAAGGUGGGGAUGACGUCAAAUCAUCAUGCCCCUUAUGAUCUGGGCUACACACGUGCUACAAUGGUCGGUACAACAGGCAGCGAAGUCGUAAGAUGGAGCGAAUCCUAAAAAGCCGAUCCCAGUUCGGAUUGUGGGCUGAAACUCGCCCACAUGAAGUUGGAGUUGCUAGUAAUCGCGAAUCAGAAUGUCGCGGUGAAUGCGUUCCCGGGUCUGUACACACCCCCGUC